CCAAUAGCGUAUAUUAAAGUUGUUGCAGUUAAAAAGCUCGUAGUUGAAUUUCGGGAUCAGUACGCUGGUCGUGCCUUUGGUAUGUACUGGUGUCACUGAUUCCUCCCUUCUGAAGAACCGUUAUGCCAUUUAUUUGGUGUGGCGGGGAAUCAGGACUGUUACUUUGAAAAAAUUAGAGUGUUUAAAGCAGGCUCGCGCUUGAAUACAUUAGCAUGGAAUAAUGAAAUAGGACGUUUGAUCUUAUUUUGUUGGUUUCUAGGAUCGACGUAAUGAUUAAUAGGGAUAGUUGGGGGCAUUAGUAUUCAAUUGUCAGAGGUGAAAUUCUUGGAUUUAUUGAAGACUAACUACUGCGAAAGCAUUUGCCAAGGAUGUUUUCAUUAAUCAAGAACGAAAGUUAGGGGAUCGAAGACGAUCAGAUACCGUCGUAGUCUUAACCAUAAACUAUGCCGACUAGGGAUCGGAUGAUGUUAUUUUAAUGACUCAUUCGGCGCCUUACGGGAAA
RNAcentral lists this ribosomal RNA (502 nucleotides) under uncultured Glomeromycotina. RNAcentral's name for it is "SSU rRNA". It matches the Rfam family "Eukaryotic small subunit ribosomal RNA", at positions 591 to 1097 of the family's 1831-position model. The record is from RNAcentral. Lineage: Eukaryota; Fungi; Glomeromycota.